This 55-nucleotide transfer RNA is filed under the name Camelus bactrianus (Bactrian camel). It matches the Rfam family "tRNA", at positions 10 to 63 of the family's 71-position model. Rfam says of the family: Transfer RNA (tRNA) molecules are approximately 80 nucleotides in length. Their secondary structure includes four short double-helical elements and three loops (D, anti-codon, and T loops). Lineage: Eukaryota; Metazoa; Chordata; Mammalia; Artiodactyla; Camelidae. The record is from Rfam by way of RNAcentral. RNAcentral also lists the same sequence under 2 other names.
GCUCAGCAGUAGAGCACGUGCCUAGCAUUCACGAGGUCCUGGGUUCAAUCCCCAG